RNAcentral lists this ribosomal RNA (484 nucleotides) under uncultured bacterium. RNAcentral's name for it is "partial 16S ribosomal RNA". It matches the Rfam family "Bacterial small subunit ribosomal RNA", at positions 30 to 507 of the family's 1533-position model. The record is from RNAcentral.
AUUGAACGCUGGCGGCAGGCCUAACACAUGCAAGUCGAGCGGAUGAAGGGAGCUUGCUCCUGGAUUCAGCGGCGGACGGGUGAGUAAUGCCUAGGAAUCUGCCUCGUAGUGGGGGAUAACGUCCGGAAACGGGCGCUAAUAGCGCAUACGUCCUGAGGGAGAAAGUGGGGGAUCUUCGGACCUCACGCUCUCAGAUGAGCCUAGGUCGGAUUAGCUAGUUGGUGGGGUAAAGGCCUACCAAGGCGACGAUCCGUAACUGGUCUGAGAGGAUGAUCAGUCACACUGGAACUGAGACACGGUCCAGACUCCUACGGGAGGCAGCAGUGGGGAAUAUUGGACAAUGGGCGAAAGCCUGAUCCAGCCAUGCCGCGUGUGUGAAGAAGGUCUUCGGAUUGUAAAGCACUUUAAGUUGGGAGGAAGGGCAGUAAGUUAAUACCUUGCUGUUUUGACGUUACCAACAGAAUAAGCACCGGCUAACUUCGUG